Lemur catta (Ring-tailed lemur) is the source of this 781-nucleotide long non-coding RNA. RefSeq lists it as uncharacterized. The transcript is spliced from 5 exons. NCBI's taxonomy places the organism in Eukaryota, Metazoa, Chordata, Mammalia, Primates, Lemuridae. The record is from RefSeq and is a predicted model, not a curated record.
CCGGGGGCACUUUGGGGAUCCGUGCCCUCUCUCCCCGCGAUGGCACUAGAGCCGGCAAAGACGCUGUCUCUGCAGUCCUUAUGGAUAUGGGUUCCCCUCUCUCACCCAUGAGGGUUACAACCAAGCUUCCAAAUGGAGUCCAUGUGAUGAGCAGAUCAACAUGGAAUAACUUCAGCAGUUUGGUGUGUGGUGGAAUUCAAGCCCAUCCCUCGUUCUUAAGUGAAUGCAGGGCUUCCUAGAGAUUCAGAGACAACGUCAGAGCCUCAGAACUCUAGGCUGACUGCAUUUCAUUAAGCAAAGUCCAGAGAGUGGGUGAAGAAUCCUGCACAGGCCAGAGAGCCCCCGCUCCUGGGGGUUGCCUUUUAUCUGAAAUUCUAUUUGGGAGCAGUAGAAGAGGAGACAAAGCUGAGUCACUGGUGUUGUGCCUGAAUCCCGUGUUUCUACAACCACCCCCCACUCUGCUAAACAGAUGCUUCCAGAAAGCAAUGAAUAGAAGAGAAAUGGAAUAUUUUGCAUGUGUUUCUUUCCUCCAGGAUUUUAAAUUAUCUUCCUCAACUUUGUAGAAUAAGGUUGCAUACUGCAGAGGCUAGAAGCUUCCUGAAUGUUUUCCUGCUGCACUUUUCACCUCCAUCCCUGCUGGCGAAACAAAAGCCUAAUGGUGACACCCCAUACCCAGGGAAGCCUUUAAGGUCACAAGCAAUCGUUGGGAGGGAUGGUUAAGGAAUGAAUCUGUUUUAUAAGAAAUAUUAAAAUUCAAUUUUCAUUAAACUUUCUAGUGUAA